RNAcentral lists this ribosomal RNA (263 nucleotides) under Salmonella enterica subsp. enterica serovar Infantis. RNAcentral's name for it is "partial 16S ribosomal RNA". It matches the Rfam family "Bacterial small subunit ribosomal RNA", at positions 1 to 260 of the family's 1533-position model. The record is from RNAcentral. Lineage: Bacteria; Pseudomonadati; Pseudomonadota; Gammaproteobacteria; Enterobacterales; Enterobacteriaceae. RNAcentral also lists the same sequence under 27 other names.
AAAUUGAAGAGUUUGAUCAUGGCUCAGAUUGAACGCUGGCGGCAGGCCUAACACAUGCAAGUCGAACGGUAACAGGAAGCAGCUUGCUGCUUCGCUGACGAGUGGCGGACGGGUGAGUAAUGUCUGGGAAACUGCCUGAUGGAGGGGGAUAACUACUGGAAACGGUGGCUAAUACCGCAUAACGUCGCAAGACCAAAGAGGGGGACCUUCGGGCCUCUUGCCAUCAGAUGUGCCCAGAUGGGAUUAGCUUGUUGGUGAGGUAA